UACGGAGGAUCCAAGCGUUAUCCGGAUUUAUUGGGUUUAAAGGGUGCGUAGGCGGCAGAUUAAGUUAGAGGUGAAAUUCCGAGGCUCAACCUUGGCACUGCCUCUGAUACUGGUUUGCUAGCGAGUAGAUGCUGUAGGCGGAAUGUGUGGUGUAGCGGUGAAAUGCAUAGAGAUCAUACAGAACACCGAUUGCGAAGGCAGCUUACCAAGCUACUUCUGACGUUGAGGCACGAAAGCGUGGGGAGCAAACAGG
This 253-nucleotide ribosomal RNA is filed under the name uncultured Rikenellaceae bacterium. Its description in RNAcentral is "partial 16S ribosomal RNA". It matches the Rfam family "Bacterial small subunit ribosomal RNA", at positions 524 to 776 of the family's 1533-position model. The record is from RNAcentral. Lineage: Bacteria; Pseudomonadati; Bacteroidota; Bacteroidia; Bacteroidales; Rikenellaceae.